GGCGAAGGGCACGAAGCCACUGAUUAGGAAGCGAAAAGGAAAAAAAAAGUCCCGGCUUCUAGAAAGACUUGAAUGUUCGACCCCUGCCUGAGUCUGACUUGGCCCUGCAACGCCACCAAGUACACGACUUGGAGUUUGUCGCCUACCUGCUCACAGGCCUCGGCGCGCGCGUUAAGGUGGUGGAGACGGCGGCCGCAGCCCUUCCCUCUCCAGUUUGCUUUCUAGAGGCAGGUUGAGAGAAGAAACGUGUGAGCGUGUAAUUACAGAAUGGGAUCAGGUGAGGAAGGAGACAGACCAGGUGCAGGAUGGAAAUGGGCAGGCGGUUCCUUUAAAAUGAAAUCUAACCCUUUGGGGCUGCGCCGGGCUGGCUAAAUUUGUCACGUGUCUGAGGCCUUAACUCCUGCCAGCCACCCAGAGCCCUUGUGGCCCGACUGUCACUUUGCCGGGUGGAUCCUGGGUCACCUUCUGAACUCUCUGCCUGCCUGGUGAGCCCCUCAGGGGCCAGGAAGCCUGGUCGUAUCUCACACUCUGGAGACUCAUGGGAAUUCCAUCUAACGCAUGUGGCCCAGAUCCCUUUGGUUUCGAAGCCAGGCACUGGUGAGACACAUAAAGAAUACUUCUUGAGGGGAUGGGCGUCCCCACACUCCAGCUGACUGUAGGAAGGACAGGAGGAAGAAGGGCUGUCAGCAAAGGAAUCAUGCUCAGGAAACCGUCCAUGCCGGAAGUCAGCCCGGGAGCCCUACUGGACCCAGAAUGUCCAUGUCACACACACAGGCUGGUGGACUCAGAAAGGCACAUCACACACACAGGCUGGUUAGGAGAGACGAAGGGUUGAGGGCAAAAAACUGACUGAUCAGCCUCUCCUCCGGAAGUUUGGGCCCUCAGAUGUUGCCUCGAUUACCUAUCGCAAGGAAGAAAUGCCAGAAUUCACCCAGGCCCUUGCUGACGCAGGGCACUAGAGAGAGAGAAACCACUGGGCUGAUUAUCUUGGCUUUAUCCUCCACAUCUGUUUCAGCUCAGCAUCUCUGCUUCUCAUCUUUAAAGAGAUGGCUGCAAGGCUAGAGAAUCUCAGAGCUGGAAAGGGUCUGAGAGACCUCACAUCUCACCUCCUUCUUUCGGAGAUAAGAGCCGUGUCACUUGAGAGGCCGUGACUCACUCAAGGCCACACGGCGUGGGGGGUGGGGGGUGCGGGGUGGGGAGCUGGGAUUGCAGCUCUCCCUUCCCAGGCCAGAGCUUUUCCCAGUUCUCCAAGCUGCCUCUCGGAUCCCGCCAAGUUGUUCCCACGCUGGCCUGGUUUAGGCCUCAUUAGUAAGAAAAGCUGGCUGUGGUCCUUUCUCAUCCCCCCACCCCCACUGCCUCUCGAAAAAGAAAGGAGAUGCUCUUCCAGAACAGAGCCAGGAUGGUUUUGCUUGUCAUCUGAUGUCUGGGAGUGCCCAUGCCAGGCUCCACUCCAGGGGUACAGCUCCUUGCCCUCACAUGGUGUCAUAAAAGAAUUCACCCUCCUGCCAACCUUGAGCAUAGAAGGCCGUUUCUCAGCUGGGACUCAAGCCACCUUGGGGGCCAAGACAUCAGAGAGACUGUGCUCGGCUCUUACCAGCUGUGUGCUCCUUGGCCAAGGUCUGUCCUUGGAAGGCAGGUGCUCCCCAAGGAGUCCCAACCCCAUUUCCUGGCCAGUCACCUUCACCCAAGCCAAGUCGAGACUCUCUCUGGAAGGUGCUCCACAUCCAUUCUGGAAGGGAGGAAUAUUCCCACCUCCAGUCCUUUUUUUAUUUCCAGCCACACUUCCAGUAGUCAUGUACGGAUAUGAAAGUUGGACUAUAAAGAAAGCUGAGCGCCGAAGAAUUGAUGCUUUUGAACUGUGGUGUUAGAGAAGACUCUUGAGAGUCCCUUGGACUGCAAGGAGAUCCAACCAGUCCAUUCUGAAGGAGAUCAGCCCUGGGAUUUCUUUGGAGGAAAUGAUGCUGAAGCUGAAACUCCAGUACUUUGGCCGCUUGAUGCGAUGAACUGACUCCUUGGGAAAGACCCUGAUGCUGGGAAAAAUUGAAGGCGGGAGGAGAAGGGGACGACAGAGAAUGAGAUGGUUGGAUGGCAUCACCGACUCAAUGGACAUAAGUUUGAGUAAGCUCCUGGAGUUGGUGAUGGGCAGCGAGGUGUGCUGCAGUCCUUGGAGUCCCAAAGAGUCAGCCACGGAGGAGCGACUGGACUGACUGACACUGCGUGGCUUAUGGGAUCUUAGUUCCCCGGUGUACAUGCUAAGUCGCUUCAGUUGGUUGACUCUGCGACCCUAUGGAUCAUUGCCCGCCAGGCUCCUCCAUCCAUGGGAUUCUCCAGGCAAGAAUACUGGAGUGAGUUGCUAUGCCCUCCUCCAGGGACUCUUCCCACUCAGGGAUGGAACUCCCAUCUCUUGCGUCUGCUGCAUUGACAGGUGGAUUCUUUACCACUAGUGCCACCUGGGAAGCCCCUUAGUUCCCCUACCAGGGGUCAAACCCCGGGCCCUUGGCAGUGAAAGCACUAACCACUGACCACCAGGGAACUCCCCCUCCCUAUUUUUUUUUUUUAACAGAUGUGGAAAUCCAGGUUCAGAGCGGUUAAGUUACCUGCCCAUGGUCACCCAGCUAGUGAGGGGCAGAGUCAGAAUUUGAACUCUGGUUCAAACCCAUCUCUUUCUGUGGCACCCCUCCACGUGCCCCAAAGGAGCUCGAGGCAUCUCAAGACACCCUUCCCGUGCUCAGAAGUAGUCCCCCCUGGCUUGCCUGGGUGCCUGAAACCCCCCCACUGGAGUAUCUGCUGCUGACCCCAGCCUUUUAAGCAGGAAAGGCCAGGGAUGGACAGGGGGAGGGUAUACAAAGGUUUGAUCAGGGUGGGACCAACCUGGGCCCCAGGGGCGAGGGCUUGGGGGCAGGGGAAGUGGCCCAGGGGAGAAAAGGCUGACUGGGGGAGGCGGGGCCCAGAGGCUGGCAGGACAGGGCAUGAGGGAGCACCAGUGGGGAUGAGGGAGGCUCCCUCCAAACCCCACAGGGCCGGCUCUGGGGCAGGGACUGGCUUUGGAGUGGAAGGGCCCAGCGUGACUGGGAGGCAUUAGUCAGCGGUGGAGGUUUAUGAAAGGAGGAAUUGUCCGGAGCCUCCUUACUCACCAGGCCAACUGGGCUGUCCCAGAGAGCGGGAGCAGGGCCGGUAUCAGAAGGGGACCGGGAACUCCGAGCUGCUCACUGCCCAGGUUGAAUGGCCCCAGGCAUCUGGGGGCCACGCUCGGGGGCCCUGUCCGGCCUCACGGCCUGUGAGUCACAGUCCUUGGCUGGCGGGCUGAGUGUCUUCAUUGUCCUCUCGGCCAGGGGACAGCGGGGCCCGACUCCCUCCUCCUGGGAGAAAGGACGCCCCGGGCUGAUUCACCAGUUUAUCACCCUGCUGCCCCCUCCGUCUGAGGCCCCCAGCAUAUUCACCUCCCAUCCCUUCUUCAGUCUUUCAUACAGUCAUUCUUUUUCUUAUUGUUGUUUUGCGUCAAUCUUUAUUUUUCCAAUUUGCAACAGUAAUCUAUUGACUGUUAUUCCGCCUUAAAAGGGGAUGAAAUACUGACCUACGCUACAGCAUGGAUGAACCUUGAGGACACUAUGCUAAGUGAAUAAGCCGGCUGCAAAAGGACAAAUUCUGUAUGAGUCCGUGCAUGUGAGGUUCCUAGAAUAGUCAAAAUCUUCAGGGCAGAAGUUAGAGUAGAGGUUGACAGGUCAAGGGGAGAAGGCAGCAGGCUUUGUGCUUUAAAGGUGCAGAGUUUGAGUUCGGCAAGGUGGAAAGUGUUCUGGAGAUGGACCGUGUUGAUGGUGGCAAAGCAAAGCUGAUGUACUGAGACCGUACACUUCAAAAUGUCUAAAACCGUAAAAGUUUAUAUUUUGUAUAUUUUAUCACAAAAGCAAAGAUGAUCUAUUAUUCAAACGAUACAGAAAAGUAGGAAAAGUAGAGACCUCCCUGUUGGCUAAGAUUCCGAGCUCCCAAUGCAGGGGGCCUGGGUUCGAUCCCUCGUCGGGGAACUAGAUCCCACCCGCUGCAACUAGGAAUCUGCCUGCUGCCACGAAGACUGAAGAUCCUGAGUGCCGAGACUAAGACCUGGCUCAGCCAAAUAAGUAAAUCAAUUAAAAAAAUUUUUUUAAUGUUUUUAAAGUAAAAGGUAAAUGUCCUCACCCCAGCCUCUGGAAUAUUUCAGACUUAACUUCUGUUCCUGUAUAAUCAUAGAUGUGACUUUAACAAAAAGUCAGUGUGUGAUGGGAAGGGUGCCCGCCACACUCCUGGUCUUUCUCCCUUUGAAGGACACACGCGUCUCACUAACCCCAGGUGCCAGCCCAGCGCCAGGUGGCAAGGUCGAUAACCACCAUCUGGCAGGAGCUCAGCGGUGUCUCCUGUGGGGCUUAAACCCUCACACACAUGAACUCACUUCAUCCUUCCACCAGCGUGGUGAGGAAGGGGUUGUUCAUGCCCUCCUCAAAGCCCAGUUCAUAAAUGAAGACUCAGAGGCUUUCAGAGUUGAGGGAUGUGCCCAGAUCGCAUCACUAGAUGGAGGCAAAGCAGGAGGUAUUUCCCCCCUGAGCCGUUAAGUUGUUCUGUAGACAGAGAUGGGCCACGAGCAGAGUGAUGGUUUGUAGCAGGGGUCCCCAGCCUCCAGGAUGAACUGGGGUGGGGCUGAGGUCAUGACAACAGGAAUAAAGUGCGCGGUACAUGUAAUGUACCUGAAUCAUCCCGAAACCUCCCCCCCACCCCGAGUGCAAAUUGUCUUCCACGAAACCGGUCCCUGGUGCCAAAAAGGCUGGGGCCGGCGGGUUUACAGCACAUUUGCUCACUUCAUAGUAAUCCCUUAAUUUCUGGCUUCCCUGGGGCAGGGCUCCUGUGGUCUCUCUCGCUAACUGGCCCUCCUCAAGCCCUGGAACACAGUAGGUGUUCAACAAAUAUUUGCAGAGAGGCUAGUUCUCAUUCAUGUCUCUGUCUGAUCAUCCCCCACAGCCCUGUGAAGUAGAUAAUUAGGAAAUCUGAUGGCUGCCGGUCUUACUCAUCCGGCUAGCAGGCAAGAUGGUCACACGGCCGGGCUGGGCUGCUAAGGUGGAGCCCCAGGCUUCUGGCUCCCUUCCCAGGCCUUUCCAAUUCAGCUGUCGAGGCCUGGGCCCCUGAUGUUACAGAACAAGGAUAAUUAAUUGGGAGCAGGAACACUUUGAGUCAUAACCAGCAAUAAUAAUAAUAAUAAUUGCAGUCAUACUCAUUGCAAUCUUUAACUCAUAUAAACCUGUAUCAGUAGCACCAAUGAGGCACUAAUGUUAUCUCAGGGCUUCAGUUAGGCCUGGAAGUUCAAUUGUAAGUGCCUCAACAUCACACACAGUUCAGAGGCGGCGGAGCUGGGAUUCAGGCUCCAGCCGGCUCCAGGGCCCAGAGGCCACACACCACUAAACACUUGAGGACCGAUUAGUAUUGUCAGCUGGACCCACGGCACAGCCAGGCUGAACUUUGGAGAGAGAUAGGGCCGAAUCCCACCCUCAUUCAUUCUUUUGGUCAGCAAGCCUGUACUGAGCCACACCCUUGAGCUCGACCAAGUGUCUGUCCCCAGGACUUGACCUGACCUGGACGGAGGCUCGCCCCACCCCAGCAGAGCCUUUGGCCUGGUGGGAGAGGCCGAUGUCUUAAUUACACGGCUAAUUGUCUCAUUAGAGCAAAGAUGAGUACCACUCGAAGGGUUUGGGUUCUGCCAGCCUCCUAGGGCACAGGCCUGGCCUGGGGGAGCUAACAUCUCUGCUGAAAUUUGAAGGGUGGGCCGGGGUCAGGUGAGCGGAGUGGGAGAGCUUUCCAAGCAGAGAGGGCAGUGGCGUGGCUCUGACUAGAACAAAACUGCUGUGGCUGGAGCUGGGGGCACAGGUUCGAUCCCUGGUCAGGGAACUAAGAUCUCACUGGAAAAAAAAAAAAAAGAAGUUGCCAUUCCCCCUCCAGUUGGUGGGGCUGGAUGGGUCCUCCCAGGAGCAUCGAUUCCACUCCCCACCGCGCGUCUGCACAGCUGUUUGCACUGGACACCACGCUCUUGGUCCUGUUUGACCCUCAUGACCACGUGGAGGGAGCAAAGUCCGGCUUCCCGAGCAGGGCCUGCGACCCUGGAGGUGAUAAGGCAGCCCUGAUCACGGGGCUCUAACCGUCGAAGCUGCUGCAGAGCCGAUGGCCGGUUGGAAGGGAAGCCCCUCCAGGGUCUUCUGACUGCCUACCCAAGCGACACCUGCCCCGAGGGACUGGGGCAGAACCUGAGGAGGAAAACUACAGUAAGAAGGAUCUUCGAAACCCCUGCUGAGUGUGCCUUUUGGUUCACAAAGCGCUUCUAUAUCCCAUUCUCAGCACGAAACAGAAGGGUAGGGCCUGGGAGCCAGGCUGCGGUGAUACAGGCCUCAGUUCACCCCUUUGCUGGCCUGUAACCCCCAGACCUCACCUCUCUGAGCCUCAGUUUCCUCCUCUGCCCAGUGAAAGCAGCAACGCCACUUCUCUCUUCCCAUGGCUCACGGCUGCGUGUCUGGCCAGCCUGUGGCUGCCUCGCUCCUGGCCCUGCUGCCUCCUUCCCCCCCGCCAGGGUGCUGCCUUUGCGCCGCACCAGACACCCGGCCUCUGCCAGGCGGGGAGCUGACUCAGACCUCGGUCCACCAACACGCUGCCGGGGUGGACGGGCCCAGACAGCCAGGGGAUUCUUGUCCCGACUCCCCUCCGGCAGCCAGGCAGCGUUUGGCAGGCCCGGCUGGGGCCUGGGUGAGAAAGAGGGAGGCGGGGAGGGGAGCCCCCGAUGGGAAGGCUCGGAUUUAGCCAGCGCAGGCCUUUGUGUUCUGAAAUGCCAGGCCAGGGCAGUGAGCUCUGCCAACGAGGAGACUGGCCUCCAACAAUAAUGUUUUUCCCUGGGUUUCCAGAAAGCAUCAGCUGCUUUCUAAUUCAAACCAUCAGGAGGAGGUUCACAUGUGCUGAGUCUCAAAACCCCCGAGAAAGAACACGGCUGCCCCUUGCCAGACAAGAGCUGGCCUGGAUGGGACAGGGGAGGUGGGGUAGGGUGGGCAUGGCCAAGGGGUCCCUGGAUGCGAGACUGAGCACCUCCCUGGGCCCCCACGUGUCCAUCCCAGACCUGCAGCUGGGAUCUCCCCAGGGCUGGCUUGCUGGUCACUCUAGCCAUGUCCACAGGGGUCACUCCCCCUUGUGCCAGAAACUGCCAGGCAUUGGAGUGGUCACUGUGUCUGUUAACUGUGGUUCACACUGACCGAGCACAUGUCCGCCAGCAUUCGCACCAACUGCUUUCCAGCCACAGUCUCUGGGCCACCUGCUAUUAUUCCAUUCUACAGACUAGAAAGAUGUUCGUCUCAGCCAGGUGAAGUUCCCCGGGCUUCCAGCCCUGGGGCUGCCUCCGGCGCUCCCCUGCCAGGCCUUGCUGCUCGGCACACAAAAGAUGUAAGACUCGCCACUUCACAACUACUAGGCUGGCAAGAGUCAGAAAGUCAGAUAAUGACAAGUGACGGCCAAGACGUGGAGAAAUCCAUCCUUGCACGCUGCUGGUGGGAAUGGGAAAUGGUUCAGCCACUUUGGAACACAGUCUGGCGGUUCCUCAACUAAACACAGAGUUACCGUAUGACCCAGCAGUGCCACUCCUGGGUAUCUACCCAGGAGAAACCAAAACACACGUCCUCACAAAGACUCAUAUGGGAAUACUCACAGCAGCGUUAUUCAUCAAAGCCAAAACGUGGAAACGAGCCAAAGGCAUAAACAUACUGUGGUCUGCCCGUACAAUGGAAUAUUAUUCAGCCAUACAAAGGAUGAAGUGCUGAUACACACUACAACAUGGAUGGCCCUUGAAAGCAUUGUGCUGAGCGAAACGAUCCAGUCGUAAGUCCACAUAUUGUACGGUUCCACUCGUGUGAAAUAUCUGCUCUAGGGAAAUCCACAGAGACACACAGGAGGGACUGGGGGUUAGGGGGACCAUGUGGGGCAGGUGAGACAGACAAAAGGUCCAGGAUCUACUUUUUUUGGGGGGGUGAUGAUCAAAAUGUCUUAAAAUGGACUGUGACCGUGGUUGCCCAGCUCUGUGAAUACACUAAAAAAUCAUUUCAAUGGGGUAAUUGCAUGGUGUGUAAAUUCCAUCUCAGUAAAAAUGUUUAAGAAAGAAAGGAUUUAUGGUGUAGCCUUUAAGGAGCUCACAGAUGAGAGAAGAAAGCAAUGAGAGAAAUGCCAACAAUUCCAUUCAUGACCUAAGAAAGCACAGGUCAUUCCAUCUGAGACUCUGAGGGCAUAGUGCUAUGGGAAGGGAGGAGGACUGUCUCUCAGCCCAGGGAGCUGGAGCAAAGAGGGAGGCAACCCAGGGAAGCUUCCUGGAGUAGGUGACACUGGAC
Bos taurus (domestic cattle) is the source of this 8372-nucleotide long non-coding RNA. The record is from Ensembl. NCBI's taxonomy places the organism in Eukaryota, Metazoa, Chordata, Mammalia, Artiodactyla, Bovidae.